This 229-nucleotide ribosomal RNA is filed under the name uncultured bacterium. RNAcentral describes it as "partial 16S ribosomal RNA". It matches the Rfam family "Bacterial small subunit ribosomal RNA", at positions 568 to 796 of the family's 1533-position model. The record is from RNAcentral.
UGCGCAGGCGGAAUAAUAAGUCAGUGGUGAAAUCUCUCGGCUCAACCGGGAAACUGCCAUUGAUACUGUUAUUCUUGAGUACAGUUGAAGUGGGCGGAAUGUGUCAUGUAGCGGUGAAAUGCUUAGAUAUGACACAGAACACCGAAAGCGAAGGCAGCUCACUAAGCUGUAACUGACGCUCAUGCACGAAAGCGUGGGGAUCAAUCAGGAUUAGAUACCCUGGUAGUCC